CUUCCUGUUUAACAAAAACAUGUCUUUUUGAUUAUAAUAUAAAGUCUGGCCUGCCCACUGAGUUGUUGAAGGGCCGCAGUAUUCUGACUGUGCAAAGGUAGCAUAAUCAUUUGCCUCUUAAUUAGAGGCUAGAAUGAAUGGUUAAACGAAAUACAAACUGUCUCACUUUUAAAAUUUUAAUAAUUUAGCUUUCUAGUUAAAAGGCUGGAAUUUGAUUGGAGGACGAGAAGACCCUAUAGAACUUUAUAUAAUUUUUUUUUAUCAAGAUUAGUAAUAUAUUUUUGCUAAAUUUAAUUUAUAUUUUGUUGGGGUGACAGGAAAAUUUAUUAAACUUUUUUAAUUUUAUAACAUUGAUUUAUGAAUAUUUGAUCCAUUAUUAUUGAUUAUUAGAAUAAGUUACCUUAGGGAUAACAGCGUAAUUUUGUUGGAGAGUUCUUAUCGAUAACAAGGUUUGCGACCUCGAUGUUGAAUUAAAGAAAUUUUAGAGCGCAGAAGUUUUAAGA
Molecule: ribosomal RNA, 503 nt
Filed under: Hagenomyia tristis
Lineage: Eukaryota; Metazoa; Arthropoda; Insecta; Neuroptera; Myrmeleontidae
Description: partial 16S ribosomal RNA
Rfam family: Archaeal large subunit ribosomal RNA
Source: RNAcentral